GGUCCGCUGGCUCAAUGGCAGAGCGUCUGACUACGAUCUUGAGGGUUCUCAUCCCCUCAGGAAGCGAUCAGGAGGUUCCAGGUUCGACCCCUGGGUGGAUCG
Cercophora newfieldiana is the source of this 102-nucleotide non-coding RNA. Lineage: Eukaryota; Fungi; Ascomycota; Sordariomycetes; Sordariales; Lasiosphaeriaceae. The record is from the annotation of a GenBank genome assembly.